This 77-nucleotide transfer RNA is filed under the name Natronincola peptidivorans. RNAcentral describes it as "tRNA_Pro_GGG". It matches the Rfam family "tRNA". Rfam says of the family: Transfer RNA (tRNA) molecules are approximately 80 nucleotides in length. Their secondary structure includes four short double-helical elements and three loops (D, anti-codon, and T loops). Further hydrogen bonds mediate the characteristic L-shaped molecular structure. tRNAs have two regions of fundamental functional importance: the anti-codon, which is responsible for specific mRNA codon recognition, and the 3' end, to which the tRNAs corresponding amino acid is attached (by aminoacyl-tRNA synthetases). tRNAs cope with the degeneracy of the genetic code in two manners: having more than one tRNA (with a specific anti-codon) for a particular amino acid; and 'wobble' base-pairing, i.e. permitting non-standard base-pairing at the 3rd anti-codon position. Lineage: Bacteria; Bacillati; Bacillota; Clostridia; Peptostreptococcales; Natronincolaceae. RNAcentral also lists the same sequence under 1 other name. The record is from RNAcentral.
CUGGCUGUGGCGCAGUUUGGUAGCGCGCCAGAAUGGGGUUCUGGAGGUCGCAGGUUCAAUUCCUGUCAGCCAGACCA